RNAcentral lists this ribosomal RNA (880 nucleotides) under Staphylococcus aureus. Its description in RNAcentral is "bacterial SSU rRNA". It matches the Rfam family "Bacterial small subunit ribosomal RNA", at positions 117 to 983 of the family's 1533-position model. The record is from RNAcentral. Lineage: Bacteria; Bacillati; Bacillota; Bacilli; Caryophanales; Staphylococcaceae.
GUGGAUAACCUACCUAUAAGACUGGGAUAACUUCGGGAAACCGGAGCUAAUACCGGAUAAUAUUUUGAACCGCAUGGUUCAAAAGUGAAAGACGGUCUUGCUGUCACUUAUAGAUGGAUCCGCGCUGCAUUAGCUAGUUGGUAAGGUAACGGCUUACCAAGGCAACGAUGCAUAGCCGACCUGAGAGGGUGAUCGGCCACACUGGAACUGAGACACGGUCCAGACUCCUACGGGAGGCAGCAGUAGGGAAUCUUCCGCAAUGGGCGAAAGCCUGACGGAGCAACGCCGCGUGAGUGAUGAAGGUCUUCGGAUCGUAAAACUCUGUUAUUAGGGAAGAACAUAUGUGUAAGUAACUGUGCACAUCUUGACGGUACCUAAUCAGAAAGCCACGGCUAACUACGUGCCAGCAGCCGCGGUAAUACGUAGGUGGCAAGCGUUAUCCGGAAUUAUUGGGCGUAAAGCGCGCGUAGGCGGUUUUUUAAGUCUGAUGUGAAAGCCCACGGCUCAACCGUGGAGGGUCAUUGGAAACUGGAAAACUUGAGUGCAGAAGAGGAAAGUGGAAUUCCAUGUGUAGCGGUGAAAUGCGCAGAGAUAUGGAGGAACACCAGUGGCGAAGGCGACUUUCUGGUCUGUAACUGACGCUGAUGUGCGAAAGCGUGGGGAUCAAACAGGAUUAGAUACCCUGGUAGUCCACGCCGUAAACGAUGAGUGCUAAGUGUUAGGGGGUUUCCGCCCCUUAGUGCUGCAGCUAACGCAUUAAGCACUCCGCCUGGGGAGUACGACCGCAAGGUUGAAACUCAAAGGAAUUGACGGGGACCCGCACAAGCGGUGGAGCAUGUGGUUUAAUUCGAAGCAACGCGAAGAACCUUACCAAAUCUUG